GGUCCGUAGUGACCUGCGGAAGGAUCAUUA
Molecule: ribosomal RNA, 30 nt
Filed under: uncultured Clavulinaceae
Lineage: Eukaryota; Fungi; Basidiomycota; Agaricomycetes; Cantharellales; Hydnaceae
Description: partial 18S ribosomal RNA
Source: RNAcentral